Molecule: ribosomal RNA, 497 nt
Filed under: uncultured bacterium
Lineage: Bacteria
Description: partial 16S ribosomal RNA
Rfam family: Bacterial small subunit ribosomal RNA
Source: RNAcentral
GAUGAACGCUGGCGGCGUGCCUAAUACAUGCAAGUCGAGCGAACAGACGAGGCGCUUGCUCCUUUCACGUUAGCCGCGGACGUGUGAAUAACACGUAGAUACCCUACCUAUCAGACUGGGAUCACUUCGGAACACCGGAGCUAAUACCGUAUAAUAUUUCGAUCCGCAUUGUUCGAUGGUGAAAGAUGGCUUUGCUGUAUCUUAUCGCUGGCACUGCGCCGUAUUAGCUAGUUGGUAAGGUAACAGCUUACCACGGGAACGAUACGUAACCGACCUGAGAGGGUGAUCGGCCACCUGGGAACGGAGCCAGGGCCAAGACUCCUACGGAAGGCAGCAGAAGGGAAUCUUCGGCAAGGGGCGAAAGCCGGACGGAGAAAGGCGGCGUGAGUGAGGAAGGUCUUGGGAUCGUAAAACCCGGUUAUUAGGGAAGAACAAACGUGGAAGGAACUGUGCACGUCUUGACGGUACCUAAUCAGAAAGCCACGGCUAACUACGUG